CAGUUAGAAAUGACUGCUAAUACCGCAUAAGCGCACAGUAUCGCAUGAUACAGUGUGAAAAACUACCGGUGGUACAAGAUGGACCCGCGUCUGAUUAGCUAGUUGGUAAGGUAACGGCUUACCAAGGCGACGAUCAGUAGCCGACCUGAGAGGGUGACCGGCCACAUUGGGACUGAGACACGGCCCAAACUCCUACGGGAGGCAGCAUG
This 209-nucleotide ribosomal RNA is filed under the name uncultured bacterium. RNAcentral describes it as "partial 16S ribosomal RNA". It matches the Rfam family "Bacterial small subunit ribosomal RNA", at positions 147 to 353 of the family's 1533-position model. The record is from RNAcentral.